GACAGAGGGUGCAAACGUUGCUCGGAAUUACUGGGCGUAAAGGGCGCGUAGGUGGCCUGCUAAGUCGAACGUGAAAUCCCUGGGCUCAACCCAGGAACUGCGUCCGAUACUGGUUGGCUUGAAUCCGGGAGAGGGAUGUGGAAUUCCAGGUGUAGCGGUGAAAUGCGUAGAUAUCUGGAGGAACACCGGUGGCGAAGGCGGCAUCCUGGACCGGUAUUGACACUGAUGCGCGAAAGCCAGGGGAGCAAACGGG
Molecule: ribosomal RNA, 253 nt
Filed under: uncultured prokaryote
Description: partial 16S ribosomal RNA
Rfam family: Bacterial small subunit ribosomal RNA
Source: RNAcentral